Molecule: long non-coding RNA, 617 nt
Organism: Vidua macroura (Pin-tailed whydah)
Lineage: Eukaryota; Metazoa; Chordata; Aves; Passeriformes; Viduidae
Exons: 4
Source: RefSeq, a predicted model, not a curated record
GGCAGGGAGGCUGCGCGCUGCCGCUCCCCGCGCCGCCAUCUUUCCUGAGGGCAGCGGCCCGGGCGGGCUGGGCGCGCUCGGCGGAGCCGCCCCAGGAAAGGCUCCCAGCAGCUCUCCUCGCUGCCGAGUGCCAGAGGCGCGUUUCCUGCUGAGAAUGGCACGCUUUCAGGUGUUAGGGCCAGGCUGCCCAGCUCUUCGAGUCUGGUUUUGCUAAGGAAGCCUGUGGCUUAUCUUCUGGGGAGUGUUUAGGAACCAUUUUAAUGAAUUCCAAUUAAGAAUCUUUCUGACACCAGGGGAUGCAGAGGUCAAAGAAUGCCCUGAGCAGCACAGCAACAGACCAUGUGGAGCACAGAUAAAGCCCAGCACAGGUAACUUGUCAUACCAAUACUGCAGUGUUAACCGAGCUUGAUGGGAAUUCUCCAAUGAGUCUGAGGGAGUUAGCCAUUAUAUAGAUGAAGAUCCUGCAGGACUGAGAAAAGAUGGCAAAACAACCUUCUAAGGAGUUUGUGUGACCUGCCUAAGAUCAGUCAGAAAAUUAAUAUCAGAACUGUUAAGAGAAAUCUGAUCUUCGUAUAUGCCAUUCUUUGCUCUAAACUGCAUCCACUGAAAUUGGCCAU